RNAcentral lists this long non-coding RNA (498 nucleotides) under Monodelphis domestica (gray short-tailed opossum). RNAcentral describes it as "lncRNA (ENSMODG00000041208.1)". The record is from RNAcentral. Lineage: Eukaryota; Metazoa; Chordata; Mammalia; Didelphimorphia; Didelphidae.
AUUCAGUUCCUUUCCAACCCAACAGUUUGCAUAAAGGCUUGUAUACAGAAUUAAGGCUGAAAACUCAAAUUCAACACCCGAGUGACAAGCGCAAAAUGAAGGUGUAAUCAGAACUAAAUCAGUGUUUAUACUAAUGCUCUGGCUAGGGCAGCUGAAUAGAAAAUAAGGCAAAGUUGAGAAAGCAUACUUCCUGAGGGUAAGCGUUAAGGAACAUUAUAGACAAAAUGAUAGGAAAAGUUUGAAGGAGAGAUCAUUUCCUACAUGGAAAGAAAAAAGGACAAGAAUCAAGGAAAACUUCAAUAGGAAGGAGAGAGCUAAAGACUCAUAUUGAAGGGACAGAGAUAUAUUCAGAUGACACUUUCUGGGAAAUCACCAGGGAACACCAGAGACAACAUUGACGAGGACUGGCAGGUCAAGAGCUGUUCUUAGGUAGACAGAACAGAGAAUUGGAGAGAAAGUAGACCUAGAACGUUGAUUCUUCCCUAAGUGCAGAGGAAG